Molecule: long non-coding RNA, 2909 nt
Filed under: Mus musculus (house mouse)
Lineage: Eukaryota; Metazoa; Chordata; Mammalia; Rodentia; Muridae
Description: long non-coding RNA chr8:111136857-111139766
Source: RNAcentral
AGCUGAGCAGGGCAGCAGUAGCAGUAAGCUCCUGAGGAGACAGAACAGGCUCUUAACUGACCUAUGGGGGUGGAAUACAGAUGCACAGCUCCAGGUAUUGUGUGCCCUCUCUCUCUCUGAUAGAUAUGGCUGUUGGCUGUAACAUUCCACAGUCUGUGUAAUGAACGUUUAUUUGGUAUUGAAUACAAAAUACAUUUUUGAACUAUGCAUUACUUGUAAAAAAAAAAAAAAGUAGCAAUCAGCAGGUUUGCUCUUUAAAUAUGGAAGUUAGUACUUAAGUUCCAAAUCAGAAAAACUUCCAAACCAAUAUAGUUUACAAUUGGGUAUACCACCAUCACAGUAUAUUAUUCAGAAACAAAUGUCAUCAAGAGUAUUUUCAGCAGUUUUUUAUUUUCUUCUGCACUUGUUAAUCACUAGCUAAUUAACUAUUAAGUUGGAGGGAAACAGCAGCUUCCUAGUAAGUUUUCAGCUAGAAGUUCUGGCCGAUGCUGCCAUCAGCAGAGCUUACACACCGUGCUUGUCUUGCUGCAGUUUUUUCUAUGCUUGAUGGCACAAGUACCUUAGAUAGUCGAGGGGGCUGCUUACCUAGAAUAUCUGAUCCACCAGUGUGGUAGAGCUGGGCUUCUCAGGAGUAGAUGCAAGUUGUUAGCAGAAAUGGUAGCUCUAGAGCAACCCCUGACCCUUUCACAGGUCUCCUAAAUAAUUGGAAAGCACAGAUAUUUACAUUAUGAUUCAUAAUAGUAACAAAAUCACAGUUACUAAGUAGCAGUGACCCUACAUUGGGGUCACUGCAAAUGUGAGGAACUGUAUUAAAGGGUCACUGCAUCAGGAAGGUUGAGAACCACUGCUCUAGAGGCGUGAAUGAAAAUCUAGGACGACUAAGGAGGAACAAUCACUGUACCUCCUGAGCUGUGUGACACUUCCAGUUCAGGGACAGUGAGGCUAUCUUGGCUUGCCUUGUAUAACACACUGGGGAGCCGGUUAGCUUUAAGGGAUUGUAAACACUUCAGUUUUAGGUGACAGAUUCUCUGGAAUAAUGUUACCACAUCUACUUCCUAGAAGUGAGGGGGUUCCAUGUUCUCUUCUUUGAUUAUAGAAGCAAUUAAAUCUCUUUGAACAAGGUAACAAAGUAUAUAGAAAACCUAGAAUUGGAAGUUUUCUGUGAUACUCCAUGAAGGCUCUUUUCUCUUAGCCAGAUGCAAAGCCUAUUUCUCAGCACUACCACAGUUAUUUGAAAUAUGCUCAAGCUUGUAACAGAGUUCCCUUCCAUGACAUAGGUACUGAACUUGCAAAAAGGAACAAAGAGGAAUGGCUUGAAUAGUCUUAAUUGUGAGACUACCUCACUGCAUUUCUAGUUCUUCUGUGGGUUCCUACAGAUCAUAUUAGUCCUGCACACAGGAUCAUUUAGCACAAUUGUAAACCCUAGCUUCAGUCUGGUCACCAAGAGCCCAUUUAUGCAGCCGUGGACUAUAUAGCCACUUCAGCUUGGCACUUGUUGUGGAAGUACAUUAGCUCUGGCCUGUCUCCUCUAUAUUGUGUUCAAGAAAAGUAACCAAACAUGAAAAACAAAUUUGUAGAUUUCAGUAUUAACUGAUCUGUUUUGGGAUGUGGGUGACAGCUUUGAUUUUCAGGUUACCUUAUGAACACAUUUGCUAGCAUGGGAAAAGUUCUUCACUGUCCUUGGAGAGAACUGUAUGCCUUACAGUAUUGGUACUAGCCCUGGAGACAGACCUGGAUGAGCAGUUCCAUCAUCCUGUUUGCAGGGGUGAACUACAAAUUUCAUCUUUGUAUCUUUUGGUUAACUUCUUGGCUAAGGUAACAGAUUUAUAUUUAGGACAAUGAAGUCACUUUUCCAUUUUCUGCAUCCCAACACCCCCAGCUCACAUGUUGAUAAGCAGCAUAGUAUCAACACAGUACACUUUCCUUCUACUGGAGGAUGCUCCUCCUGCCCUUACGUCUGUAGGCACACAGCUUGAGGAGCAGUAGGUGAGCGGGUGAGGAUGAUGCCUGAGUUCGGCUGUGGCUGAGCUGUGGGCGGCUUGGCAGCACCUCCCUUUCUUUUGGCCUCCAAGGUGCUGAUCUGUAAGCCCCCAUGUUCGUCAGCAUGGGGCUUUCUCUCCAAGUCCUCAGCAGUACCUGCACCAGGUACUGUUCACAAGGAUCGAGCGUUCCCCUUUGCCAUCUCAGUCUGUCACGUCAGCAUUUCCCUGUAUAAGACUCUUGGCCUCUAAGCAGUUGUCCGAAUCUGAAUAAUUAUACACACUUUCUUCAUAUUUUGAUUCAUCUUUGCAAACAUCUACCUCCUUGUCUUUUGUCUGUGAAUGACAGAUUAUAAGAGGAGGGGGAGUUAUUUUUAUCAUGUUUCAAAAGAUCUAUGCCAAGAUUUCUUUUGCACACCAAGAACUGAAGCUUGGAGCACUUCUCAGGCCAGUUCUAGUGCCUUACACUCCAGGAUGUCCAGCAUCGGACUGAGGUAGGAUGAAAGCAGGAUGCUCGGUCUGUAGGUUCUCAUCCCCCACAUCAGCCCUCUUUGUUCAAAAUAACCUUGGUGUGGGGUAAAAAGUUCUGCAGCUCAUUUCACUGAAAGCUUUUCUAGCGCAUACUUAACUCUCUGGUCAAUGCUUAAGAUAUAUAAGACACCAGUGCAAUUGCUAUAAAGAUCUUUAAAUUCGCAUUUAGUGUGUGGUUCUGCUCAGCUCCCUUCUGUUCCUGUGUAGUAUCAGCAUGUGAUCCUGAGGACAUUCUAGAUAUUGGAGUAAAUAAAAUCUUUUCUUAAGAGCAAACUCAGCCGACUUUGGACACAUGGGGUAAUUGUGCAUUUAUGACCAGAAUUAUUUCUAGAUGGCUGGAUUUGAAUUGAGAUUUUCUUUUCAUGUAUUAGGUGUAUAAAUGAAUAAAAAGAUGUUUCC